CCGACCUGAGAGGGUGAUCGGCCACAUUGGAACUGAGAGACGGUCCAGACUCCUACGGGAGGCAGCAGUGGGGAAUAUUGCACAAUGGGCGAAAGCCUGACCCAGCAACGCCGCGUGAGGGAAGAAGGGUUUCGGCUCGUAAACCUCUGUCCUAUGGGACGAAGGAAGUGACGGUACCAUAGGAGGAAGCCCCGGCUAACUACGUGCCAGCAGCCGCGGUAAU
RNAcentral lists this ribosomal RNA (223 nucleotides) under uncultured bacterium. Its description in RNAcentral is "partial 16S ribosomal RNA". It matches the Rfam family "Bacterial small subunit ribosomal RNA", at positions 287 to 524 of the family's 1533-position model. The record is from RNAcentral.